Long non-coding RNA from Chenopodium quinoa (quinoa), 1552 nucleotides. RefSeq lists it as uncharacterized. NCBI's taxonomy places the organism in Eukaryota, Viridiplantae, Streptophyta, Magnoliopsida, Caryophyllales, Amaranthaceae. The transcript is spliced from 3 exons. The record is from RefSeq and is a predicted model, not a curated record.
GAUAAUUAGUACCAUUAAAGUCAUUAAAAGUUAAUCAAGUGUUAAUUAAUUUAUCAACUAAGUUUAAUUAGUGUGAAUUCUUAUUUUAAUAAUUGCAUACUAUUUUCUAACAUUAAUAAUAUCAUUAUGGUUUAAUAUUAAAUUAAUUAUGAUCAUUUAAAGUCGUAUUUACAUAAAAAUAUAUGAAGGGCUAAGUUGCAAAAGAACAUAAUACCCAAGGACUAAAAAGAUACCUGGUAUAGACAUCCUGGUAUGUGCCUAUCAUCCCUCUGGUCUCCUUCUCUCCAAACUUUAUCCCUCUUACUUUUUAUUAUUUUAUGUUUCUCUCUCUCCUCAACACCAAAGGUUUGGACAUUGAUAAAUAUGACCUUAGGAAGUGAGUAGAAAACAUUUCUACUCCCCGCGUGAAAUUUAAUUAUGCUGAUUAUGUUUAUGAGUGGUUGUUGUUCUAAUAGUUGAGUACGGAGUAACUGAUAAAUGAUGCUCCUUCACUAAUAUUACAGGCAUUGUGUUAUGAGUUACUAAUUAGCAAAUUGGUUUUCUAGAAGCGAGUUCUCCCUUAAGGUAAAAGUUUAGUGGGCUCAUUAUUAUCAUUUUUCUGAAAAGUAAGAAUUAUGUUAAUUUACCACCCGGGUAUAGCUCAGUAGGUGAAGGUAAGGAUGUGAUUGCAGAAUAUGACCUCCCGCCCGGGUUCGAAUCCUGAUUCGAGCUUUGGUUGAUUAUCAGGAGCAUCCUCUCCCUCUCCCAACUGAGGCACGUGCCGCGAUUUACCUCUCACGUGUAGCCCUAGUGGUGGGGUGGCGUGGGCCCCUUGGGGGUGGGGGAAUAAACCUUUUGCAGAAGAAUUAUGUUAAUUAGAUGAAUUGAUGUACUGUAUGCAAUUUUUCAAGCAUUAUAAUUCAUGGUUGUGUAUAUCAUAGAGGUAUACUUUCUAUAAUUCAGUGAAUUUGUAUUCUAAUUAAUUAAUUUGUGUUGCAAGUUUACAAGGGCUUUGAAGAUAAGCAGCAUUCUAGCGUGAGAAAUAUGUACACAAACAAUUGGUGGCAUGCAUGCAGCUCUUUGUUAAUUGGUUGGAAGGUUUGGAAAGUUCAUGGACAUAUAUGACCAGUCAUGAAAGAAUUGAACAAGAUAAAUAUGAUGCCUCACGGCAAAAGGUUGUGAGUACCUGCAUGAACAAUGGGAAGAGUUGUAUGGUAUUUUGGUGUGAAAUUGAUAUAAUUGGAUUUGAGAAUGAAAUGAUCAGAAGUACGAUUAUGAGCCAGAUUAGAAAGAGAUAAUGCCUAACCUUCAAUCUUCUUCAUAUUGCUGUUGAGAGUAAGAGAAUGAUAUGGUGCUAUAGAAUUGUUCUUCAUGUGAUAGCGUUUUUUUUUUUAUCUUCAAACUUUCUCAGAGCUACGUUGUAUCUUCCUUGUACUUCCAACCUGUACAUGUAGAGCAUCUAUCUUGAACUAGAAGCUAAAGUGUCUAAAUUUCUAUCAUGAUUGAUAUGUCACUAAUUUUGCAUAUUUUGUAUUUCAUACAGUUUCAAAUCUGGCUCCUAUUGAAUUCCUUG